GUGUCAGCAGCCGCGGUAAUACGUAGGGUGCGAGCGUUAAUCGGAAUUACUGGGCGUAAAGUGUGCGCAGGCGGCAGAGCAAGUCGAGUGUGAAAGCCCCGGGCUUAACUUGGGAAUUGCGCUCGAAACUACUUUGCUGGAGUGUGGCAGAGGAAGGUGGAAUUCCACGUGUAGCGGUGAAAUGCGUAGAGAUGUGGAGGAACACCAAUGGCGAAGGCAGCCUUCUGGGCCAACACUGACGCUCAUGCACGAAAGCGUGGGGAGCAAACAGGAUUAGAAACCCCCGUAGUCC
RNAcentral lists this ribosomal RNA (292 nucleotides) under uncultured bacterium. Its description in RNAcentral is "partial 16S ribosomal RNA". It matches the Rfam family "Bacterial small subunit ribosomal RNA", at positions 505 to 796 of the family's 1533-position model. The record is from RNAcentral.